Molecule: RNA transcript, 9103 nt
Organism: Xiphophorus hellerii (green swordtail)
Lineage: Eukaryota; Metazoa; Chordata; Actinopteri; Cyprinodontiformes; Poeciliidae
Gene: prom1a
Gene name: prominin 1a
Exons: 26
Source: RefSeq, a predicted model, not a curated record
CUGGAUGGCUGCGCACGACCCCGCCCGCUCCCGUGACGCAGCGCAUCUCUUUACGCGCAGAUGCUGGAGUCGAAGCGACAGGCGCGCACAUCUCUUAGGGGCUGAGCGCAUCCACUACCGGACACGGUAGAGGGAAGAUCAGCCGGUGUGCAUCCGACAGGGAUCCCCCGGACAGCGGGGUAGGAUGCUCAGAACGAGUCGCUUCGUGGGCAGCAGUACUUGAAGAGCUGCGGUCCAUCCACUGGAGCGCUUUAAGACUGAUCUCGAAUCAAUUCCUCUGGCUUUUUUAAGAAACACCACCGUCCAGUUUAGUAUCUAGAACCAGUUUGAGGGUAGAUCGGGGUUUGGCUUGGACACGAUGUGGAAGUCCGGGACACUACUGCUACUGUCGGUGCUGUGGGCGUCCGGUGAACUCCAGCAGGAGACAGAGCCGCGGAGGCUACCACCUCCGGGAAAGUUGGAUUUUGGUUAUGUGCCUGCGGGAGUUUACGAGACAUUGGCCCAUUACGAACCCGGACCCAUAGGGAUCCUCUUCCACUUGGUGCACGCUUUCCUGCAUGCGGUGCAACCCAACGCUUUCCCCCACGAUCUUAUUGUGAAGCUGGCAAAGGACAAGUUUGGAGCCAUUCAAACAGAAUAUCAAAAGCCAGAGAACAUAGUGCUGACCCUGCAGGCCAUCUACUAUGAGAUAGGCUUCCUCAUAUGUGCAGCGGUGGGUCUACUCUUCGCCAUCCUCAUGCCCGUUGUGGGGCUCUUCUUCUGCAUGUGCCGCUGCUGCGACAACUGCGGUGGUGAGAUGCACCAACGCCAGAGGAAGAACGCGGACUGCCGGCGCGGCCUGCUGGGAACAUUGCUCUUCUCCACCUCGCUGGUCAUCACGAUUGGAGUUCUGUGUGCGUAUGCAGCCAACCAGAACCUGAGCUCUCAGGUGAAGAACAUACGCCGUCUGGUUAACAGCAACAUGAGGGACCUGCAUACCUUUGCUAAUGACACACCAAUGCAAAUUGAUUACCUAAUAUCCCAAUACGCCACCGUCAAGAACAAAGUCAACUAUGACCUAGAUAACAUAGGUCCAUUACUCGGGGGAAGGAUACAUGUACGGUUAGAUAAAGAGGUCCAUCCUGCUUUAAACCAAGUGCUUAAUAUGGCUGGAGCCAUGAGGGAAACCAAGGAGGCCCUGGAGAACAUCAGUGUAUCUCUGGUGGUCUUACAGGAAGGAGCCGGAAAACUUCAUUUCAACUUGAGCCAAGUCUGCGACAGCAUCAACCGCACCCUCGAUGACCCCGGGUGUCAUGACGAGGAAUCGGACGCCACCACGGCUCAGCUUUGUCGCAGCAUCCGCCAGUCCCUGUCCCAGCUGCAGAUCAGUGCAAAUUUCACCCGGCUUCCUAAUGUGAACCCUCAGCUGGAAAAGAUGAAAAAUGUAGUGAAAACAGAUCUCAGCUCUGUCGUCCACAGGGGUUUUUCCUCUUUGAAUGACACACCGCACAUUGUGAUUGAACAGACAAGAAGCGUUGUCAACAGUGUCCAGAAUUUAGUGGACAGUGUCGGCAACAACAUCAGUAGCUUCUCCAAAGCUUUCCCUUUGCAGACCUGCUUGUCUAACUUCACCAUCUUCAUCAGCCAUGCACACGCCAAAAUCGAAGACUACUAUCCUGAAGUUGAUAAAAUGGACUUCUACAGAUGGAUCGGCUGUAUCGCUCUGUGCUGCAUGGUGGUUCUGGUUUUGGCCUUUAACUAUUUGGGCCUUCUGUGCGGCACUCUGGGAUACGACAAGCAUGCCUCACCAACGACACGAGGAUGUAUCUCCAAUACAGGAGGAACACUGCUGAUGGCCGGUGUUGGAUUUAGCUUCAUUUUCUCCUGGAUGCUUAUGGGAGUGUUGACCACCAUCUUUCUGGCAGGAGGAAACAUGGAGAAACUUCUUUGUGAGCCAUUUCACACCAAAGAACUUUUCAAGGUCGUUGACACCCCAUACUUGAUCAACCCAGAGUGGAAGAAUUUCAUUCCAGGCUACAUGUACAAUGACUCUGAACUGGAGCUGACAUCGGAAAGCUUGUACAGUACUUGCAAACAGAACAAAGGCAUCUACUCUGCGCUGCGUCUGGAUAAAGUCUUCAACAUCUCCUCGUUCCUGAACACCACAGUGUUCACUAAGGAUGUGGUGCGUCAGCUGGAGAACUUUCGGAUUGACCUGAGAACGAUAAUCCUGUUAGAAGCAGAGGGGAAGCAGAACCUCCUAGAUUUCUCUGAAGCUGGCUUAUCAGAGAUCAACUACGCUGACUACCUUGACGAGGUGCAUAAAGGAGUCACUGUGGUGGAUGUUCUCUCAUUCGCCAAAGAGCUGGAGUCCCAGACAGACCUGAUGCCCAGGGGACCUCUGCAGGCAGCUCUGAAAGGCCAUGUGGCCACUCUGCAGCGGAUCCACAGACAACAGAUCACUCCAAUGGAGCAGGCCAUGAAAUAUGUUAGAGCAAGGAGUGCAUUGAACCAGAGUAUGAGAUUCCUGGAGAGGACAGCUUCUGACCUCCCGAACAAAGUCACAGAUGUUCUUGAGGCCAUUGAAGCUGCUCAGCACCUCAUCUCCCAGAAUGCAACACUUUUAAUCAAUCAGGAAACAAGAAAAUACUCAGCAACCAUUAUUGGCUAUUUCAAUCAGUACAUAGAAUGGGUUAAAACAUCAUUGGCUUUGGAGGUUGCACCAUGCAAGCCCUUCAGCAACAUCUUGGAUACGGCGCAGAUCAUGACCUGCAGUUUCCUGGUGGAUUCUAUGAACACUUUCUGGAUGGGUCUGGGCUGCAGCACAUUAUUCUUGCUCCCAAGCGUAAUACUAGCUGUGAAACUAGCCAAGUACUACCGCAGGAUGGACACAGAGGAUGUUUAUGAUGACUCCUCUGUUUCUGGGACUUGGCAUUUUACUUUGUGAUAACCAUUCCUACUAUUUCCAUCAUGUCAUAUUUUUCAUUUUAUUCAUUCUUCUUUGUCAAGCACUUGGCACUUUACAAAGAAAAGACACUGAUAAAUUAGUCAAUUCUUAUUUCUUCUUCAUGGGCCUUUUUCAUGUUCAGACUCUGUGGACUCAUUGCUUUAUCUACAGUAGUAGUAAUUGUAAUAUCUCAGCUGAUCAACUGCAUCUCCCUCUGUACAAUCAGUGCUGGAUUGCACAGAAGGACGUCUGAUGCAUUUCUUUUGCUGAAAAUCUCAAUAACAUUUUUAUGUUCCUGUUUUCUGUGUAUCUCCAUAGCGUUGAGACAAUUCCCAUGAAAAAGUAAGACGUUCUUCCCCAACCUCCUUUUCAUUUUAACUUCUCUCACUCUGUGCUUUUUUCCCCAAGUAAUGUAUAUAGAAAGUUGUUUACUAAAUUCUUGGUGCUCGUUUGCAUUUUUGAGCUUCAAAAUUGCUCAUGUGGGUGAACGAUGUGGCUUUUUGUCAUGUGCUAUGUUUAAGAAGUGCCCCUUACAGUACCUUUCAUGAAGGGCUCUUGCAAUCAUUCAAGUGUUUUUUGUAAAAAGAAAUUGUGUAAAUAAAACACUAAGGUUUAUACUCAGAACAUAUUCAUCUCCUGAUAUUGUUUAAAGAUUUAUCCACAUAUAAAGGAAACAUUUUUAUUCAGCAUGUCGCAUUUCUCAUUUUUCAUUCCAUUUUUGUUCACGAUGUUUUAUUUUCAGUAUGGAAAUUGGUAAUAAUGGUUAUCAUAGUGAGAGUUCACAAGGUAUUCCUAAUCCUAUGAUGACAAGGUAAACUUCCUAUUUAUCCUGCUAACUGCAUGUCAUGGUGGAGGUGGAUGCAUGCCUGGGAAGUUGGUUUUAUAUAUAAUAUGGCUGAACACAGUGCAUGCUCGCAGAGGGAGUCAUUUCAAGACACGCAAAUGCAUAAGUGGGUGUGAUAUUGUAGCAGUGGUAGCUUUUAUUAGAAACAAUCCGGAAUCAAUUUUUUUGGUGUCCAUGAUAAAAAGUGCUUUAAAAUGAAUUUCAGCAGUGGUUUAACAUUUGGGGUGGAGUGUGGGAUUUGUUGAUGAGCAUCAGAUCAUAGCCCCACUGUUUUCUUUGAGGCUGAAAUAUAUAAAUAUAAAGAACGAUUUCUGUAUUCUGUCAACUUGAAGACUGGGGAUUAUUGGAAAACAAAUACUAAUAAAGGUUUGUCAUCUGUUAGAAGUGCCAUUUUAAAUAUCACAACUUAAAGAAAUGUAAUUGCAAUUUAUAUGUAGUCAAAAUACUUGCUUAUCACAGUGAACUACAGGUGAGUAUUAGAAAAAUAAGAGCUGGAACAUCUUGAUGGAGAAAAAGAAGGAGCACAUUUUGUUACUAUAUAACAAAAAUUAUAGUCUUUACUCUGAGGAAAACUAUACCCUCACUUAAACUCUCUUUCAUCAAAGAGAAAUUAGGGUUUCAUUUCCCAAUAAUCAGUCUGACUCUUCCAACAACUAUAGGAGCCUUGAGGCUGAUGAAUCUGUCUGCUACCACUACUUCACUGUCAUGUUGUAAAUGUUCUGCUUGGUGGUUUUGAGGGAAUCUACCAUAUUACUAACCAACUGCUUUCUUUCUGACGCUGGGAAGUUCCUGUGGAAUGAAAUGAAACCUUCUCCUGUUUCCUCUCGUUUAGUGUCGGCCAAAAUCCGAUGAAUGUACACCUGAUCAUUUUGUUCAGAGAGAGGCAAGCAUGUUGAGCUUUACUGUGUCCCUGGAUGUGUUGCUAGUUUUGAUUUUCUUUUCUGAAUCUAACCAGAUGCUUAACUGCGUGUUUUAUCUUUUUAAGUUGCAUUUGGAUGCAGAUGAGUUUGCACCAACCAACAAGAUAAACACAGAGAGUAAAACAUCUAAAUGAGGACUUGCUCUGACUUGUUGCGGUUUAAAAAAAUAGGAGUUUCAUUUCCAGUUUGAACUUGCAAGAUUAAUACAACUUUUUAUUAAACCUUAUCUUUCUAUUUGAGUUGCAUUAAGCUUUUGGGAUGAAACUCACGCGUCAAUAGGAGUAUUACAUAAUUUAAAACCUGUUCUAAUUGAUCAACACUAAACUACUCUGUUGCACAGUAAGCUACUCAGAGAAUGUUUUGCUCUCUGUUGUAUGAACUGCUCACCCUUCUCCGCUUGCCACCAAAAGGAAGUGGAUGUAAAAUGUUGAGUCUGUCUGGUAACGAUUUUCCCUGUGUGUGCGUGUUUGUUCCUGUGAUGGUAGCGUCCCAACAUAUGACACAAUGAACAGGUUUCCACGGGCCUCGGCUCCUCCGAGGCACAUCGACUGGUGAGAGUCAGCUCUAGCUUGGCUCCUGAAAGGUACUGGUAACACAAAACGACAACUGUCUCUCUAACACCGAUUUCCUCACACCUCUCCUCACAGCUGUCCUGCUGAGUCAGUGAUCAUCUGUUUUAAAUCUUAUAUUGCUAAUGUGCUAACACUUUUAACACCUGUUCACAGCUUGUUUUAGUGCUUUUCUGCUUGCUGAAAAACCAUCAUGGUGAGAAUGACUAAAUUUACUGUAGAUGCUCGUGACUCAGUGUUUUAGAGAGAAGAAACCUUCAAUUUUAUUUUUAUUUAUAUUUAGGAUAAUAUCAUGCAGUUUAAAAAACUUUCUCUAACGUGUCUACUGGCUCUUGUGAGUGGUUGUGUUCAGGUAGUGCGUGAGAUAAGUGAAACCCUUUAAUAUGUAGUUACCUCCACCUAACAGCAUCCUCCACGUUGAAUAAAACCACUGGAAAAGUUGUGUAAUGCCUUAAAAAAUAGUAAUUUUUGUAGUAUGUCUUACAGCAGCAUCAUCUCACAAUGACAAUAAAAUAGAACAAAAAAUCGAACCUUUAAUUUUAAUACAUUUAGUCAGAGAGGAAUGCUGCAGCAUUGUUAUUUUCUUAUAGAUUAUUGCAACUACCUUGAAAGACCUUUUACAUGUCUUCAGAAGGGUCACGAAUGUAUUAGUUUCCACUGGUGUUGAAAGAAUUAUUUAUUAUUAUUAUUUUUGUGAAAUGACAAUUUGACCAAUUCUGAAUUUUGUGAAGAUCUUUGAUCUCUGAGACUGCAGAGAUACAUUACAAAUUUUCAUUAGAAUCUAAGGAACUGCAAUAAAAGCUUAACUUAUUUUAAGGAUAUUUUUGUUUUGAAAUAUUUUCUUGCAUUGUAAUAUCUAAAGUAUCUUUCUCUGCUAUUUGCCCUUGUAGUGCCCUUGACAACUGGAACUAAACGUCAUGCUCACUUGAGGAGUCUCAAAAUACGCUGGUUUCUUCACUUCAAAAGAAGAACACGGAAGGUCCUGCUUGUUCAAUGAUGCAGAUCAAAUUCUCCAGUUUGGUUUCUGCCGGCAGGGCGCUCACCUUAUCAGCCCUCAGCAUCAAUCUGAGCCAGGUUUCAUCUACAUUUUCCAGGACUGUUGUGUCUGUGUUUACAUUUGUUUGGACACAAAACCAAGCUGAAAAAGCCCUUGAGAGGACAUAACAUUGACUGUUGUGUUUGCUCGUUUUUAUGAACUUUGUGCUCAAGAAAAGAGAAGCUGGAGAAAGUUAUAUUUUCUUCCUGCAGUUAAAAAGGGUGUUGCACUUUCAAAGUGAGUGUCAAAAGACAGGUUUCAUAAAGAUCUGAUUGUUUUGUUGAAAAAAAUGCAUCCUUUUUAACUGAAACACAAGUGAGCUCAUGGAUGUGAGAUAUUUUAUCUGUUGAGAAAAGGCUUGUGUGAACAGUGGUAUAACGACGUGUGGAGAGAAUUUGUAAGAAAACGAAGCAUGACUUUUUUUUAUAGCUGUUUACAAUAUUUUCAUACAUGUUGGUCUUGUUAAUUUUAGGUGGCUAUGGAUCAAUUUCCCUCUUUGACAAUUCAUAACCUCAUUCAAAUUUAGCCAUUUUGUCCCCAAAUUCUUCAAUAUCUUACCUAUAAAUCACACUACUUGUAUCCUGUUGUUCAAAUCUCAGGAAUAGUUCAAUAACAAAGAUACAAUUUUAUUUCUUAAAAAAAUUAUAUUGCACCCUUUUUUCAUUGGUUUUGACUCUGAUAUCUGUUUGAACCUGUCCCAUUGGAGUCACAUGACAAAAAAGAUUUUUUACAGUAGAAGCAAAAUACCAAAAAUGACUUUAAUUCAAUGGUCAAAUUGGGUAUGAAAUGUCCCCUGACUGAAUUUUGGUAUGCAACAUCCAAUGACAGAUGUUGCAUACCAAAAUUUGUUGCAUAACAACAACAGAUGUUGCUGUUGUUGGUAUGCAAUAACUAUUCAGUGUGAAAAAGGCAAAACUGGAAAAGUAUGAAAUGGCAAAGGGGCAACAUGACCCACCUGUAUGUGAGAAUCACUAAAGAGGACUGUCUGCCUUUGAGAUGUUUUACCAUAACGUUACAGUUAAAAAAGGCCAUAUCACUAUGUUAAAUAUAAACAAUCUAGGAACUGGCAGCAUUAAAAUGCCCUUUCUGUACCAUUUAAACUUGUGUCAGGUGUUAACAUUUAGCAUUAUUUGUAAUUCAGAGUGGUAAGUUGUUCUAAAGCUUCUACUUGGAGUUUUAAAUACCAAAUCUCAGAAUUAUUUUGAAGAGUGGGUUUAGAAAAAAAAACACAAAUUCUUGAAGCAAGGGACCCAUAUGAUCAGUCAUCUUCCUUUGCUAUGGUAAAAAAAGCCCCAUCACAACCACACCGUAACACCAAAUGACAAAUUCUUACCAAAUGCAUAGCUGAUGUGUUUUGGUUGAACUAUCCAUAUAAAUAUAACAGUACAGUUGGAGAAUAAUAGUAAAAAUAACAUCUACUUCUAUUUCCUCUAUGUACCACAUGCGUUUAUUUUCAGGUCUUUCCUGCUUUAUGGUACUCAUAAUUUUAAAGUGGAAAGUUAACUCAAGCCAAAUCCCAUAUUUUUAAAUAGUCUUUCUGUGGCACACUUUUUGCCCUUCGCCUGCUUUUUUGUUAAACAGUACUUCUGAAUAUAUGGAACUUUUGAAUGUGUUCAUUCAUUAAUCACUGUUAUAUGUAGAGGUUGAGUGAGAAAUAUGCUGAUAUUGUUACAUCAGGGAGGCCAAUCAACAUAUCCUAUAUCUCAUAUUUCUAUAUAGAUGCUUUCUCCAGUGAGAGCUUAGACAAUCAAUUUAUGGGACAAAUGAGCACCAUCAAUCAGAUCGUUAAAAGAAGUAUUUUUCAUGGUUUGCACAGAUCUGCUUUAUGUGGACUGUGAAAAAAGCAAUACCUGCCUUAGCAACCAAAAUUUGGAUUUUGUUCGUCACUGUCAAUGCACAAUAACUAUAAACAUUUACCAUGUAGUAGAUUAUAUAAUAUGCAUAUAUGAAGACUAACAAAAGUCAGUUUUUAUGUGAAUCAAAAAAAAUUAUAUAUAUAUUUUUAAACUGUAAUGGUAAAAGCUGGUCUAAAUUUAAUACUUUUUCCAUAAUUUCUAUAUUACAUUUGUUUUAUACUCCCAAUAAAUCCGUUUUAGAUUCAAGUUUGAUAUUGUUUUUAAAAGACAAGCCCAUGGGCUUGAAUAAAACCAAACAAAAACAAUGUGUCAAUUAAGAAGUCGCUAAAGAGAGUACUAACAUUUAACAACUUUUAAUUAGGUUACCAUGACAAGGAUUAAAAAUUAACCCAUUUUUGUAGAUUUUUGUGCACAUCUGACUUCUAUAAAGCCUGUAGUUGUAAUUUGCUGUAAUUUGCAGUAGAAGUACUGACAAUAUUUACCAAUGGUUUACAAGUUAUGCUCUGCUACACUGACUUUACACACUAUUUUCAAUCAUUUUAUUUCUCCAAAGGAAACACUGACUGCCAUGUUAAAAUGUCCCAGCUGUGCUUUUCCAUAAUGUGAACUCAUUGGCUCUGUCUCUUCCCAGCAUUCUCUUUUUUUGCUUGCUUCAUUUACAAACUUAGUUUUCCUCAAGGUGGACAUUUUUAGGUGAUCGGUGUGCUCAUGUUGACUAUCACAGUUUUACUCCUUGCUGGAGUCUGGUAACGCAUUUAUGGGGACAAAUUCACAACUUAAGUGCUUAAACUAGGUAUAUAUGACAGCUUUGGGUUGAUAGGAUGAAUGGGUUGCUGGUUUGAAAUGUGAUGCUGAACAGUUGGGAGAUGAUGGAUCCAGGAAGAUGCUUGUUUUUUAUGUGGAUAUUAAAAAAAAGUGUAUAAAUUGUGAAUAAACUCUCCAGUUCAAGUUA